GCAACCUGCCCAUAUCAGGGGGAUAGCCCGAAGAAAUUCGGAUUAACACCGCAUGUGAUUAUAAGAUGGCAUCAUCAGUAAUUAAAUAUUUAUAGGAUAUGGAUGGGCUCGCGUGGCAUUAGCUAGUUGGUUGGGUAACGGCCGACCAAGGCGACGAUGCCUAGGGGCUCUGAGAGGAGAAACCCCCACACUGGUACUGAGACACGGACCAGACUCCUACGGGAGGCAGCAGUAAGGAAUAUUGGUCAAUGGGCGGGAGCCUGAACCAGCCAUGCCGCGUGCAGGAGGACGGCCCUACGGGUUGUAAACUGCUUUUGCCAGGGGACAAACCCCCGCUCGCGAGCGGGGCUGAGGGUACCUGGAGAAUAAGGAUCGGCUAACUCCGUGCCAGCAGCCGCGGUAAU
Molecule: ribosomal RNA, 404 nt
Filed under: uncultured bacterium
Lineage: Bacteria
Description: bacterial SSU rRNA
Rfam family: Bacterial small subunit ribosomal RNA
Source: RNAcentral